Long non-coding RNA from Tyto alba (common barn owl), 1684 nucleotides. RefSeq lists it as uncharacterized. The transcript has 2 exons. Lineage: Eukaryota; Metazoa; Chordata; Aves; Strigiformes; Tytonidae. The record is from RefSeq and is a predicted model, not a curated record.
UCCAGGUCCCGGUUGUCUGCGCAGCCCGCGGGAGGCGUUUGUGGGUGUUUCUGGAGGAGGCUGCCCUGGCCGCGCAGAAGGCAAGGGCUCUUCGGUGCUGUCGCUCCUCUGACGGCCGCGGAUCCCGGCAUCGCUCGGAGGUAUAAAAAUUUAUAAAGUGCUUCGGGACGGCACCAGCUGAAAAGAGAAUCACUUGAACAGAAGCCACUGAGGCAGCAACAUCUGAACAUUUCUUACCUACUUUUUCCUGUUAAUUUCCUUAAAUGUUCUUUCCCCUUUGAGACCUGUAUUGCACUCCAGCAUCUCUCGAGCCACUCAUUCUGAAUUCCCCGGGAGAGGCAGAACUUUUCUCCAGAGCUGGCAAAUUCCACUCACUGUCCUCCAGGACCUCUUUUUUUUUUUUUUUUUUUUUUUUUCCUUUUGGAAAUAAGGAAAAAGGCAACCGGAGAGCAUUUCCCUAUACUUGGGUGCCUUCAGUAUCCGACUGGGUACUUUUCAUAAGUUUAAAUGUUACUGUUAGACUUAUAACUAGAAUACAUGCAGGUGCACGUUUGGGUUUUGUACAAAUUUAUAGUGGUUUAUUCCUCUCUAUUUUUUGACCUAUUAAUUUAUAUACUAAAAAAGUCAGCAUCCUUUCUGAGGAAUACACCCAUGAGAAAUUAUUCCUCCGUUAUUUAUUGCCUACUUGAGGAGUUCCGUAAAUGAAGUUUCCAUAGACUCACAGCCCAGAAGCUGUAGAAAAUGGAGUUCCACAUUGCCACAAUAUCUGAUCCUGCUACAUUUAUUUAAAUCGGAUAGUGCUUGGAAGAGAGCAGUUUGAGUAAUUUAAGGAAAAGGAGAAUAUAAAAACAAAGUUCUGUUGUUAGAUGGUAAAAAAAACCAAACAAAACAAACAACAAAACAACAAAACAUCCUCAAGAAAUUGUAGGUGUAUAAUAAUUACACAGCACAGUCCUAGCAUGGGAGGACAUCUGGAUUCACUGCAAACAUCAGCUUUCCCAGAGCAGUCCUCAUUAGUAAUGCACUCGUAUUUCUGGAUGGAAUAAGGGACUCCAUAACAAGCUGGUAAACAGUGACUUCAUGCCUCUGUCUCCUCUUGGCUGGCCUUCAGUAAUUAAAAAUGCAAUGUGAAGCUUCCAACAUCAGCUGAAACCUGAGCUGCUACCUCUCCCUGACAAGACUAGCUAAGUACCACAUGUGUUUCCCGCACAGCACCGGGGCAAACAGCCUCUGGUGCAGCACAGGAGAACAGACAGAAGACAUCAGAAUUGUUAACAGUGUCAGCCUCUCAAAUUCUGUUUGUAAACAGGUUUUAAUUUUCUCUAAAAACAAGAAGCGCCAGAAUAAUGUCAGAAAGACCAAUGGAGUAUAGAGCAAACGUGACUUUUUUUUUUUUUCCCCCCUAUAAUUAUUUAGAAUUCUGUAUUAGAAUUGUAAAUAGCUGUGCGAGAAGCAGCUGUGCUGUCACUCUGAAGACAGCAGGCACAGAAAUCACACUUCAUAGUUCCCAUCUCUGCCUAGAAUUCAUCAUAGCCACUUAGCAUGAGAGGACAGGAUGCAAAUUGGGUAAAGAAAGAGGUCACCCAGAAAGGUAGUGCUUUUAUCACAGCAGAGCUAAUCUUCCUGGCAACUUGUAGGUUGUUUCCCCUGAAAACAUUAAUAAAAAAAUCUAUUUUACCUGGAA